AGUGAAUAGAUACCCAGGUAGUCCAUGCCGUAAACGUCGGGAACUAGGUGUGGGUCUCAUUCCACGAGAUCCGUGCCGCAGCUAACGCAUUAAGUUCCCCGCCUGGGGAGUACGGCCGCAAGGCUAAAACUCAAAGGAAUUGACGGGGGCCCGCACAAGCGGCGGAGCAUGCGGAUUAAUUCGAUGCAACGCGAAGAACCUUACCAAGGCUUGACAUACACCGGAAUCACUCAGAGAUGGGUGCGUCUUCGGACUGGUGUACAGGUGGUGCAUGGUUGUCGUCAGCUCGUGUCGUGAGAUGUUGGGUUAAGUCCCGCAACGAGCGCAACCCUCGUUCUAUGUUGCCAGCACGUCAUGGUGGGGACUCAUAGGAGACUGCCGGGGUCAACUCGGAGGAAGUGGGGAUGACGUCAAAUCAUCAUGCCCCGUUAUGUCUUGGGCUUCACGCAUGCUACAAUGGCCGG
RNAcentral lists this ribosomal RNA (464 nucleotides) under uncultured bacterium. RNAcentral's name for it is "bacterial SSU rRNA". It matches the Rfam family "Bacterial small subunit ribosomal RNA", at positions 773 to 1237 of the family's 1533-position model. The record is from RNAcentral.